GAAGUUGAAGUAAAUGUCACUAGAAGGAGGGUUGAAUAGUGACCCUUUAAAAGUUUCUCUGUAAUACUAAAAUAAACAAAACAGAAAGUAAAGAGUAGGGUUUAAGAGAGAUCACACAUAGAAGUUAUCCUGGUUCCCCCAAUAUGGGUUAGUCCAGUCCCCACAGCUUUUUUAAGAUUAUCCACCAAUUCUUGGGAGUUUC
RNAcentral lists this long non-coding RNA (202 nucleotides) under Medicago truncatula (barrel medic). Its description in RNAcentral is "long non-coding RNA (MTRU_LNC005792)". The record is from RNAcentral. Lineage: Eukaryota; Viridiplantae; Streptophyta; Magnoliopsida; Fabales; Fabaceae.